This 335-nucleotide ribosomal RNA is filed under the name uncultured Scutellospora. RNAcentral describes it as "eukaryotic LSU rRNA". The record is from RNAcentral. Lineage: Eukaryota; Fungi; Glomeromycota; Glomeromycetes; Diversisporales; Gigasporaceae.
GUGAAAUUGUUGAAAGGGAAACGGUUGAAGUCAGUCAUGCCGGUGGGAAUCAACUUAGGGGAAACUCUGAGUGCAUUUCUACACUUUGCAGGUUAGCGUCGAUUUUGGAUGUCAUAAAAUGACUGGGGGAAGGUAGCUCCUUCGGGAGUGUUAAGCCCUUAGUAGAUGUGAUGUUUAGGAUCGAGGAUUGCAACGGAUACCUUUUAGGCUAACUGCCUGAUCUCUAAUUUGAAGUUGGGUUAUGGACAGCAUGCUGACUGUGAUCUGAUUUUCGGUUAAAAGAUUAGAGCGAGUGUAAAUUCGUUAAGGACGCUGACGUAAUGGCUUUAAACGAC